This 565-nucleotide long non-coding RNA is filed under the name Parus major (Great Tit). RNAcentral describes it as "lncRNA (ENSPMJG00000011056.1)". The record is from RNAcentral. Lineage: Eukaryota; Metazoa; Chordata; Aves; Passeriformes; Paridae.
GAAAAACCAGAAAGCUUUGCAGGACCUUGCUGUCUGGAACUCUGCUUUUUCACUCUUAUUCCCAGGUGGGGAAGUCUCAGGCUUUUAGUGAGCUGAAGAGAUGGUUAAGUGUUUUACAGCAGCAUUUACCCAGCCCUGAACUGAAGCCCCGACUCACCUCUGGACCUCUGUAGCUGCAGAAUUUCAGAUCUCACCCUCCCAGGAAUUUCAGGAGGGUAACAUCUGGGUUCAAAAUUAACCAUCACAGUGGUUCUCACAUUCAAAAUCCUGUUAUUUGAUCUCAAUCCAGUGUUCUUGUCUGUACAGAGAGCCACCAGCCAGAAAGUGUGCACUUAAAAUAGCUCAGCCACUAAAGGGUGGGAGCUGGAAGCUGGACAGGGGUGGCUUUUUGAACCACUGCCCAGCCCCAAGGGACCAGGCUGCUGUUUCCAGUCCACUUCAGGACAAAGUCAGCAAGAAAAUGAACAUCUCUGUCACCAGGAGAAGAGACUCAUCCCUCCGUCAUGCACUUGAUACCAACAGAGGUCCCUCAGGCAGCCAAGGUUAAGGGGAUGGGUAACAACAG